CGCUCCAGCGUCUCUGACUCGCCUGAAGAAAGGACAAAGUGUCCAAACACACAGAAAAACUCCUGCUGAAGCAGCUGAGAUCCACGUGACACACUUUUAUAAAGAUGGCAUUUAUUAAAGAGGAGAGUGAAGACGUGAAGAUUGAAGAAGCAUUCAGAGACAAACAUGAAGAUACUGAGGAACAAACAGGUUGGUUUUCAUUGUCAAAGCUGAAC
Sinocyclocheilus grahami is the source of this 215-nucleotide long non-coding RNA. RefSeq lists it as uncharacterized. The record is from RefSeq and is a predicted model, not a curated record. Lineage: Eukaryota; Metazoa; Chordata; Actinopteri; Cypriniformes; Cyprinidae. The transcript has 3 exons.